UUUUCUCAGAUGAUACUCAGAAACUUGCUGUAACUUUGUUCUGCUUUGAUCUUUGUACUUUUUCUUCUCAAGAUCCCCACGUACAGAUUCCUUGGCCAGAAGCAACAUAUUCUGACCUGCCCUUCCGUCUUGGAAGCUGACUGGGACUGGGAGGAAACUUCAGGAAGGCGUUUGAAUCUCAGCUUUUUACAGAGCCUUCUUGGAGCUAAAUGCCAAGAAAACUCAAGGAAGGGUCCUAGCACAUUGAGUGAACCCCAUGCCGCGACGAAGGAUAUAUGGGAGGAUAUUCAUAAGAAGACUGCAGAAUGGCUGGUUUUAGGGGCCCUGUGUGGAAGAGGCAUGAAGAGAGAGAGGACUUACAAGAUACAGACAAGACAAGCAUGCAAGAAAUAAAGCUGGGGACCUGAUCUGUCAAUCAAGGUGAAGAUUCCAAACAGAAUGUUUCCAGAGGAGUCAGUUGGAGCUGGCCAGGGGAGAUGAACUGAGGAGAUUUGGGCUCUCUUCGGGGGUUUUCUGACCAAAGGGGAGAGACUGGCUCUUCCUGACUUGGGCAGAGAGAGAGAGACCUUUGUGGCUUUUGACAGAAUCUGGACAUGAAUUACUCAAGCAGAGAUUAUCUGACUAAAGAAAGAAGAAAGGAAGAAAGAUACUUGUCCUCCAAACUCUCUAAUUGUUCCUGAGUCACAGCUGUGACUGGACUGACAUUUCCCUCACUCUCCUAAUUCUCCUUAGAGAUUAGGGACACCCUCAUCCCUCUCACCUCAUCUUCCAUCCUGUCCUAUCUUUACCAAUAAACCUCCUUACCUGAGAAAGAGAACA
This 819-nucleotide long non-coding RNA is filed under the name Monodelphis domestica (gray short-tailed opossum). Its description in RNAcentral is "lncRNA (ENSMODG00000043170.1)". Lineage: Eukaryota; Metazoa; Chordata; Mammalia; Didelphimorphia; Didelphidae. The record is from RNAcentral.